RNAcentral lists this ribosomal RNA (565 nucleotides) under uncultured Glomeromycotina. RNAcentral describes it as "SSU rRNA". It matches the Rfam family "Eukaryotic small subunit ribosomal RNA", at positions 548 to 1114 of the family's 1831-position model. Lineage: Eukaryota; Fungi; Glomeromycota. The record is from RNAcentral.
UUGGAGGGCAAGUCUGGUGCCAGCAGCCGCGGUAAUUCCAGCUCCAAUAGCGUAUAUUAAAGUUGUUGCAGUUAAAAAGCUCGUAGUUGAAUUUCGGGAUCAAUUUGCUGGUCGUGCCUCUGGUACGUACUGGUAUUAUUGGUUUCUCCCUUCUGACGAACCAUGAUGUCAUUAAUUUGAUGUCGUGGAGAAUCAGGACUGUUACCUUGAAAAAAUUAGAGUGUUUAAAGCAGGCAUUAGCUUGAAUACAUUAGCAUGGAAUAAUGAAAUAGGACGUUUGAUCCUAUUUUGUUGGUUUCUAGGAUUGACGUAAUGAUUAAUAGGGAUAGUUGGGGGCAUUAGUAUUCAAUUGUCAGAGGUGAAAUUCUUGGAUUUAUUGAAGACUAACUACUGCGAAAGCAUUUGCCAAGGAUGUUUUCAUUAAUCAAGAACGAAAGUUAGGGGAUCGAAGACGAUCAGAUACCGUCGUAGUCUUAACCAUAAACUAUGCCGACUAGGGAUCGGAUGAUGUUAAUCUUUUAAUGACCCAUUCGGCGCCUUACGGGAAACCAAAGUGUUUGGGUUC